This 252-nucleotide ribosomal RNA is filed under the name uncultured bacterium. RNAcentral describes it as "partial 16S ribosomal RNA". It matches the Rfam family "Bacterial small subunit ribosomal RNA", at positions 524 to 776 of the family's 1533-position model. The record is from RNAcentral.
UACAGAGGGUGCGAGCGUUAAUCGGAAUUACUGGGCGUAAAGCGCACGUAGGCGGCUUGGUAUGUCGGGUGUGAAAUCCCGGGCUCAACCUGGGAACUGCAUCCGAAACUGCCUUGCUAGAGUAUGGGAGAGGGAAGUGGAAUUUCCGGUGUAGCGGUGAAAUGCGUAGAUAUCGGAAGGAACAUCAGUGGCGAAGGCGACUUCCUGGACCAAUACUGACGCUCAGGUGCGAAAGCGUGGGGAGCAAACAGG